UACGGAGGGAGCUAGCGUUGUUCGGAAUUACUGGGCGUAAAGCGCACGUAGGCGGCUUUUUAAGUCAGGGGUGAAAGCCCGGGGCUCAACCUCGGAACUGCCCUUGAAACUGGUGUGCUAGAAUGUUGGAGAGGCGGGCGGAAUUCCGAGUGUAGAGGUGAAAUUCGUAGAUAUUGGGAAGAACACCAGUGGCGAAGGCGGCUCGCUGGACCGGUUCUGACGCUGAGGCGCGAAAGCGUGGGGAGCAAACAGG
This 253-nucleotide ribosomal RNA is filed under the name uncultured bacterium. RNAcentral describes it as "partial 16S ribosomal RNA". It matches the Rfam family "Bacterial small subunit ribosomal RNA", at positions 524 to 776 of the family's 1533-position model. The record is from RNAcentral.